GAAAUCUGGAAAAAAAUGGGACAGUGGGGGAAAACGAAACACCUCUUCAAAACAAAUUUGAAAGAAAAAGUCUAUAAAACCUAAAUCUAACCUAAUCUUCAAUCUCAUACCUUAGUCGCUCUCACCUCUCGCUCAUAGUCUCACGCUCAAAUGGAUAAACGACAUCGUGUAAUCGUGCAUCCUUGGCUCCUCCUUGCCUCCCUCUUCGUUCAUCACCUCCGCUAUACCUCCUCAUAUCAUCUUCGCCCUUCACUUUAGACUUUCUCCGCCUCCAAGCUUCAGAAUUUCACCAUCUGAAGUGAAGAACUUCGGCCAACACCGAAGAACUCAACAACAUUAGGCGAUUUCUUAUGAUUUCAGGUAAACAUACAUAAUUAGAUACACAUUUACUUUAAGUUUUAGUACAUAUUUAAUUUUCUUUUUGUGCUUUGAUUCUUAUAAGUACAAGAAGCAUAUGUUUCUUUUUGUAAUUUAACAAUCUUGUAAUUGUUUAUACUUCACAUAAACACUGCAAAUUUGUAUUUGUUUAUAUUUAAGUCAUUAGCAAACUAACAAUGGUGUAUAAAGUUUACUAUAUAAUGAGCUUACGAGAGGUUAUAAAUGUGUUUAAGUAUCUAAUUCUAUUUUUAUACCUGAUUAUUUCACAUUAUAGUUGUCUAUGUGUGUAAUUGUGUAUGUUUUUAACAAUAUGGCUCUAAUUAUAGUAUAUGUUUGUUGUUUUAGAAUGGCUACAAAUGAAGGUGUAAUAGAUGUGGACGAUCAAAAUGAUGAAGUUGAAGUCCCUGGAAGAAAAUAAGCCAAAGUUGAAGUCACUUGUUUGGCAACAUUUUCCAUAUAAGAAAUGUGCUAAAAAGUCAAAAUGCAAACAUUUUAAAAUGGUUUUAGCAUGUGGAACUAGAGUUAAUGGUACCUCUGAGUUAGUGAGUCAUCUAAAAAAUACUUGUGUAAGAUCCCCCUUUACAAAAAGAGAAAAAAUGAUUCAAAAAAUCAAUCAAUCUUAAACUUCAAGCCAAAGAGACAGAAGGGGGUGAGUCUUUAAUGAGAAGAUGAUGGGUUUAAAAAUUGGUAAGGUUUUCUUUAUAUGUUUGAGUUCAUAUUUCAAAUAUACUUUUAUAUAUAUAUAUAUAUAUAUAUAUAUNNNNNNNNNNNNNNNNNNNNNNNNNNNNNNUAGGAAACACUAGUGGAAAUGAUGGAUUUUUGGGUAAGUUGUGGAUUUUGGCUAGUGAUGUCUAUUGUUUGAUCGAUAAUUGGAAAGUGAAAAACUGAAAAAACUUUAUAUUUGUUUUUAUUUAAUCUGUUGCAAGUUUAUGGAUUUUAGGCCAAUCUAGUGGCUAAUGUUGUAUGCUUGUUUAAACUUGUAAUUUCCUACUUUGACUUGUUGCAAUUUAUGUCAUUUAAAUGGCUAUUGGCCUACUGCAUAUGAUAUUAUUGGCUCUUAAGAUGAUAAAUGAAUAUGGUUAUUUACUUAUUUCAAACAGUUGAAUUUUGCUAGUUUUGGGCAAUUUUAGUAAUUUAUGGUUUAAAACCGAAAUCGCACCAUUACAAACCGCAACCGCAAAAACCAUACCGCAAUAAACUGCACUUUGCAGUUUUACACAAAUAAAACUGCAUCAGUACCAUACUGCACCAUGCUCACCCCUACUUUUUUUAAGUAGUUUUAUAAUUGUAUAAAUUUUAUUUGGUUCUAUAUUGAUCUCUCGUCAGACUAUGUGNUUAAAGUAUAUAUAUAAAUAUAUAUUUGUUUAUUUAUUUACAAUUGGAGAAAUGAAUUAGAGUGGAAAUCUGGAAAAAAAUGGGACAGUGGGGGAAAACGAAACACCUCUUCAAAACAAAUUUGAAAGAAAAAGUCUAUAAAACCUAAAUCUAACCUAAUCUUCAAUCUCAUACCUUAGUCGCUCUCACCUCUCGCUCAUAGUCUCACGCUCAAAUGGAUAAACGACAUCGUGUAAUCGUGCAUCCUUGGCUCCUCCUUGCCUCCCUCUUCGUUCAUCACCUCCGCUAUACCUCCUCAUAUCAUCUUCGCCCUUCACUUUAGACUUUCUCCGCCUCCAAGCUUCAGAAUUUCACCAUCUGAAGUGAAGAACUUCGGCCAACACCGAAGAACUCAACAACAUUAGGCGAUUUCUUAUGAUUUCAGGUAAACAUACAUAAUUAGAUACACAUUUACUUUAAGUUUUAGUACAUAUUUAAUUUUCUUUUUGUGCUUUGAUUCUUAUAAGUACAAGAAGCAUAUGUUUCUUUUUGUAAUUUAACAAUCUUGUAAUUGUUUAUACUUCACAUAAAC
RNAcentral lists this long non-coding RNA (2284 nucleotides) under Lactuca sativa (garden lettuce). RNAcentral's name for it is "long non-coding RNA (LSAT_LNC004705)". The record is from RNAcentral. Lineage: Eukaryota; Viridiplantae; Streptophyta; Magnoliopsida; Asterales; Asteraceae.